UACGUAGGGUGCAAGCGUUGUCCGGAAUUAUUGGGCGUAAAGAGCUCGUAAGCGGUUUGUCGCGUCUGCUGUGAAAACUCGGGGCUUAACUCCGGGCCUGCAGUGGGUACGGGCAGACUAGAGUGCGGUAGGGGAGACUGGAAUUCCUGGUGUAGCGGUGAAAUGCGCAGAUAUCAGGAGGAACACCGGUGGCGAAGGCGGGUCUCUGGGCCGUAACUGACGCUGAGGAGCGAAAGCGUGGGGAGCGAACAGG
RNAcentral lists this ribosomal RNA (253 nucleotides) under uncultured bacterium. RNAcentral describes it as "partial 16S ribosomal RNA". It matches the Rfam family "Bacterial small subunit ribosomal RNA", at positions 524 to 776 of the family's 1533-position model. The record is from RNAcentral.